GUGCACUUUGGCAGCACAUUUACUAAAACUGGAACGACACAGAGAAGAUUAGCAUGGUCCCUGUGCGGGGAUGACACGCAGAUUCGUGAAGUGUUCCAUAUUUGG
Small nuclear RNA from Ictidomys tridecemlineatus (thirteen-lined ground squirrel), 105 nucleotides. Lineage: Eukaryota; Metazoa; Chordata; Mammalia; Rodentia; Sciuridae. The record is from Ensembl.